UGGGGAAUCUUCCGCAAUGGACGAAAGUCUGACGGAGCAACGCCGCGUGAGUGAUGACGGUCUUCGGAUUGUAAAGCUCUGUUAAUCGGGACGAAUGGUUUGUGUGCAAAUAGUGCAUAGACAUGACGGUACCGGAAUAGAAAGCCACGGCUAACUACGUGCCAGCAGCCGCGGUAAUACGUAGGUGGCAAGCGUUGUCCGGAAUUAUUGGGCGUAAAGCGCGCGCAGGUGGUUUAGAAAGUCUGAUGUGAAAGCCCACGGCUCAACCGUGGAGGGUCAUUGGAAACUAAUAAACUUGAGUGCAGGAGAGAAAAGUGGAAUUCCUAGUGUAGCGGUGAAAUGCGUAGAGAUUAGGAGGAACACCGGUGGCGAAAGCGGCUUUUUGGCCUGCAACUGACACUGAGGCGCGAAAGCGUGGGGAGCAAACAGG
Molecule: ribosomal RNA, 430 nt
Filed under: Verrucomicrobiota bacterium
Lineage: Bacteria; Pseudomonadati; Verrucomicrobiota
Description: Verrucomicrobia bacterium partial 16S ribosomal RNA
Rfam family: Bacterial small subunit ribosomal RNA
Source: RNAcentral